Molecule: non-coding RNA, 142 nt
Organism: Citrus sinensis (sweet orange)
Lineage: Eukaryota; Viridiplantae; Streptophyta; Magnoliopsida; Sapindales; Rutaceae
Source: Rfam
ACUUUGAGUGAUGAUGAUUUAAUUUUGCACAUACUCUCUGGCUUAGGUCCAUAUUAUAAUUCUGUUGCCACAUGUAUCACUAGACAAGUAGGUGUUGGGAAGAUGAAUAUUAAUGAAGCCUAUCUUAUGCUUUUAACUCAAG